CAGAAAUUGUCAAGGUUUAGAGCCCUAAAUGUAACCUAUCCUAAAAGUUACAUCCCUUCCACAUUAACACAGUGUUAAAAGUUCAGGCUCUUCACAUGGGUGACCUGUCACCAGCAAACUCUGAGCUAGGAAUUCUUCUGAUUGCAGGCACACGUGAGGUGAAUUUCAAUCCCCUGAUGGUUCCCUAAAAGUAUCAGGCAAAGAAGAGACAGCUUGAUUUCCUGGAAGAACUUGUCUAGGCUGGCUGGGAGGAGAAAUAGCAAGUUUUAUAGCUUUUCCCUGUUUUUGGACAGGCUGAUUAAUGCUUGAGUCAUCACCCUUCUGUGGCAAGAGGCACCUGAAAGGAAAACUUCCGCAUAUCAAUGCRCUGCCAAUGGUACAGUUGCCUAUAACGAAGGCUGUGUGUAAGGAUUUAAUGCAAGAAGGCACCCAACAGGACUAUUGCAGUUUAGCGGUGGCUGACAUGUCUCUCAAAACUCCGAGUAGGUUGUGCUAUAAAUAUAGCCUCUUGUUUUGCAAUUGGCAUUUUGUUAGUGGGUGGCUAACUGCUAAUUUGAAGGGGAAUAAACCAGAGAUCUAAU
RNAcentral lists this long non-coding RNA (581 nucleotides) under Apteryx rowi (Okarito brown kiwi). RNAcentral describes it as "lncRNA (ENSARWG00000017193.1)". Lineage: Eukaryota; Metazoa; Chordata; Aves; Apterygiformes; Apterygidae. The record is from RNAcentral.